UGGUUUGUCGCGUUGUUCGUGAAAUCUCACGGCUUAACUGUGAGCGUGCGGGCGAUACGGGCAGACUUGAGUACUGCAGGGGAGACUGGAAUUCCUGGUGUAGCGGUGGAAUGCGCAGAUAUCAGGAGGAACACCGGUGGCGAAGGCGGGUCUCUGGGCAGUAACUGACGCUGAGGAGCGAAAGCGUGGGGAGCGAACAGGAUUAGAUACCCUGGUAGUCCACGCCGUAAACGGUGGGUACUAGGUGUGGGUUUCCUUCCUUGGGAUCCGUGCCGUAGCUAACGCAUUAAGUACCCCGCCUGGGGAGUACGGCCGCAAGGCUAAAACUCAAAGAAAUUGACGGGGGCCCGCACAAGCGGCGGAGCAUGUGGAUUAAUUCGAUGCAACGCGAAGAACCUUACCUGGGUUUGACAUGCACAGGACGCCGGCAGAGAUGUCGGUUCCCUUGUGGCCUGUGUGCAGGUGGUGCAUGGCUGUCGUCAGCUCGUGUCGUGAGAUGUUGGGUUAAGUCCCGCAACGAGCGCAACCCUUGUCUCAUGUUGCCAGCGGGUAAUGCCGGGGACUCGUGAGAGACUGCCGGGGUCAACUCGGAGGAAGGUGGGGAUGACGUCAAGUCAUCAUGCCCCUUAUGUCCAGGGCUUCACACAUGCUACAAUGGCCGGUACAAAGGGCUGCGAUGCCGCGAGGUUAAGCGAAUCCUUUUAAAGCCGGUCUCAGUUCGGAUCGGGGUCUGCAACUCGACCCCGUGAAGUCGGAGUCGCUAGU
RNAcentral lists this ribosomal RNA (765 nucleotides) under uncultured bacterium. RNAcentral describes it as "bacterial SSU rRNA". It matches the Rfam family "Bacterial small subunit ribosomal RNA", at positions 576 to 1339 of the family's 1533-position model. The record is from RNAcentral.